Molecule: long non-coding RNA, 2562 nt
Filed under: Homo sapiens (human)
Lineage: Eukaryota; Metazoa; Chordata; Mammalia; Primates; Hominidae
Description: HSALNT0379430
Source: RNAcentral
CCGAGCUGCCCUAGCCCGGGAGGGCGCCGCUGCUCUGCGAACUCGGGCGCGCGCGUAGGUGGCCCGCCCUCCGCCGUGCGUGACUUUCCUCGUCGCGUCCAGCUCCCCUUUUCUUUGACCUUACGUGACCUUGGGAAAAACCUCCAGGCUGCUACCCCAUCUGCACAUGGGAGGGCCGGGGGUAGGAGCCGCGACCCCUAAGGGCUCCACCGCCUUCUGCCCGGCCAGGGUCGUGCCUGGCGCGCCCCCGCUCCAGCUGACCCGCGCAAGGGAGGGAGGGGCGGACGGAUGGGGACAGCUGUUUAGGAGCGCGCACUGCGCCCAUCUCGGCCUCAACACUCAUGUUUCCACUUCGUUUCACGACCACCAGCCACAGUGGACACGAUGAUCCCCAGUUCACCCGCCAGCAAAUCAGGGCUCAGAGAGGUGGCCUCAAAGAGAGGAGCGGCCAGGAGGGAAGCCGGGGGUUUGCCCUGCGGUUCUUCCCACAUCUGGGCGGGAUAGAUUCGAUUGGGCCUCGGCCACCCCCACCGUCUCCGUCGGGGGUUCCAAGGUUUGGGGUCAUGACCUAGGGGGCUUAGGAGCCUGGGUCCAUCUCAACUAAUUUAUGGCCUCACUCGCCCCCAGCGGCUGGGAAUUCUAGGCCCAUUUUACAGAUGUGGACGCAGAUCUGGAGAGGGGCAAUGACUGCUCAACCCCCCACCCAUCCUCCCAGACACGACCUUCCACCUGGAAUCCCCCCACACACGUUCUCAGAGGCCAGGCAGCCGGGGUCUCAUGGUGAAAUCCCCACAUUCCAUGCAGGGGCUCUUUCUGGUUCCUUCCCUAGAAUGCUGUCCCUGCCCUUCCAGUACUAUCUCACCAGGGAGACCCUCCCACUCCCCCACUCCGCUCCAACCAAGCAAGGCCUCUGCCUCGCCCCGGUGGGAGGGGCCUCGUCCAGAGGGCACGCCCCUGCACACACAAUCAGCCCUGUCCUGGCUUCUCUGUGUGCCCCAGCCAGUCAGUCUGGGUGGAAGUCUUACCUGGGCCCUCUCAACAGACCUAGGCAGGCCUCUGUCCCCAGCCCAACGAGCUCAAUCCCUUAAGCACACACGCCACAGAGCAGUCCUGAGAGGCCAGGUGGACAGUACCAUGAGGCAGACAAAGCUGUGAGGCCCAGAGAGGGUCAGGCCACCCCAGCCCAGGCCUAUCUCCCUAGGGCUUCUCCCAUCUGCCGGUUCUGGAUGCCUCUGAGUACGAUGGUGGGGAGAGCAAAACACACAUACAAAGAGCAUCAUGAUGCCUGGGAGCCCGGGACCCAGUUGAAGGAGCAACACACGGCAGAUCGGAAGCCCUGCGUGCCUGUCCCCUCCCUCCCCAGCCAGCCUCAGUGUGAGUCCGCGUGCGUCUUUCCCACUGUAAGUGCAAGUGGCAGCAGACAUAGUAACACUCCCUGCCAUGGGGCUCCACAGCACUGCCUCACCUCAGCCUCUUGCCUUUUUCUCCUGAGGUCACUUUUAGAUCCAGCCCCAGGGGAACCCCCUGCUUUGGGUUGCAGCCGCCAUCUCUGCUGCAGUGUCUUCUGAUGAAAGCUGUCCCCUGUGGGCAUGAGUGUGGACAUGCUGCACCUCCUAAGGCAGCAGUGCCAAGGCUGAUGGUGCCCUCCACGGUGGUUUCAUGGCAUCGCUGCUGCACUAGAGGCUGCCCAGGGACGUGUGAACAGCUGUGAAGGGGCAGGUUCCUCAGGGAGGGAGGAUGGGCUGCGGGGAGGGUGGCUGGGGCAGGGGAAUGGGCAGAGCAUGACUUCCAAACACCUAGGAAGCCCCAGGUGGAGGGCGGAGGGGGGUCUUGCCAUCUUGGGAUAGGAGUUGACCUUUGACCCCAUCAUGCUCCUGCUGGGACCUGACCCAGGCACACUCCUCUUCCUCUGGGAGGGCUUGUCCCACCAGGGCAGGGGUCUGUGUGUGCCCAGGCAGGGAGCCACAGGCAGUAGGGGGAGGCUGGGGCUGCAAGCACAGAGGCCCCGGAAAGUGUGUGAGGACGCUGGGGAGUGGGAAGGGCCCUCGGAGGGGUGGUAUGGCCGGCUUAGGUUUUCUCGACAACUCUAGUUGAGUAUGCACUGCAGGGAGACGGAGAGGCCGCAGCCACUGAAGCCAACUGUGCUGGAGCAGGCGGAGGGCACCAGGGGUCCCUGGAGAGAAGUGCCGCCUCCUGCCAGGCCCCUGACCUAUAGGUGAGGGUGUGAGCAGAAGAGGAGAAUCUAGGAGGCCUCCCGGGUAUUAGGGGAAAGCUGAGCACCUGGAAGAUGGCAGAGCCAAGAGGUGUCCAUGGCCCUGGAGAUGGGGUCAUGAGUAUAAAGAGGGCGCUUGGAGUGUGAGGCACCAGGGAUGGGAGGUGAGAGGCCCGAGGCCCCAGCCGGGGCUUCCAGGAAAGGAGGUGGGAGAGGGUCUUGGGGCCAAGAAGGCACAGGGCUUCCCGAAGCCAAGGUGUCCCAAAAAUAAGGGAGCGGUCGGCUGGGACAGAUUCAGAUGUGGUGGCUCACACCUGUAAUCCCAGAACUUUGGGAGUCCGAGGCGGACA